UGUAUCCUGCGGGAGGCAGCAGUAGGGAAUCUUCCACAAUGGACGAAAGUCUGAUGGAGCAACGCCGCGUGAGUGAAGAAGGGUUUCGGCUCGUAAAACUCUGUUGGUAGUGAAGAAAGAUAGAGGUAGUAACUGGCCUUUAUUUGACGGUAAUUACUUAGAAAGUCACGGCUAACUACGUGCCAGCAGCCGCGGUAAUACGUAGGUGGCAAGCGUUGUCCGGAUUUAUUGG
RNAcentral lists this ribosomal RNA (232 nucleotides) under uncultured bacterium. RNAcentral's name for it is "partial 16S ribosomal RNA". It matches the Rfam family "Bacterial small subunit ribosomal RNA", at positions 333 to 557 of the family's 1533-position model. The record is from RNAcentral.